AAAACGCCAGAUCAUGUGUGGACUUAUUCCAGAGGGAAAAGGAAAGCCUGAUAAGUACAAUGUCAAAUAUGUUCAUCCAGACACAAUCCAUGAAAACUCAAUGGAAGCAAAAGUUGGACUUAGAAAAUCAAACUCUUUGUGUCUUGAAGAAGCAAAUUGAAGACGAAAGAAAUGAUGUGAACAGAGAAAAUGAGAAGCUCACUGAAAACAGGUUGAAGUUAGAAAUGACAAACAAUAACAUACAAAUCCAGUCUGAUAUGUUGUAUCAAGUUAUGAAAGAGGGUAAAGACAAAUUAGAGAAGUUAAAGACUGAGCUGCAAGAGAAGACAGGGCAAGCAGACAGUCUGUUGUUUGACAUCAACACACAGAAAAGCAUCAUUAAAGAUGUGAUUCUUCAGGUUCAAUCAGACAGACAGAAGCUUGUAAUUGCUCUGAACACCAUCACCUUGAAAGAAAGAGAACAACAAGUCAAAGAAAAUGAUCUCACAAAACUGCAACAACAACUGGAAACCACCAAGACUGCAGUGGCAGAAGAAAGACAAGGACUGGAGGAGCUGAAGGAAAAACUCAGGAGAUCAAAACAAGAUGUUGAGAGUGAAAGAAAACAGCUGGAGGACAUGAAGAACGUCAUGGAAACCAGCAAGACUGCAGUGGCAGAAGAAAGACAAGAACUAGAGGAGCUUAAGGAACACCUCAGGAGAGAAAAGCAAGACAUUGAGAUUGAAAGAAAACAGCUGGAGGAAAUGAAGAACGUCAUGGAAACCAGCAAGACUGCAGUGGCAGAAGAAAGACAAGAACUAGAGGAGCUGAAGGAGCAACUCAGGAAAGAAAAGCAAGACAUUGAGAGUGAAAGAAAACAGCUGGAGGACAUGAAGAACGUCAUGGAAACCAGCAAGACUGCAGUGGCAGAAGAAAGACAAGAGCUUGAGGUGCUGAAGGAACAACUCAGGAGAGCAAAACAAGACAUUGUGAGUGAAAGAAAACAGCUGGAGGACAUGAAGAACGUCAUGGAAACCAGCAAGACUGCAGUGGCAGAAGAAAGACAAGAGCUUGAGGAGCUGAAGGAACAACUCAGGAGAGCAAAACAAGACAUUGAGAGUGAAAGAAAACAGCUGGAGGACAUGAAGAACGUCAUGGACAGAGACAGAGAAGGUUUACUAAGUGAAAAGAACAGAAUGGAAGUUGAAUGGGCGGAAAUAAUAAAGAGAGAAGAUCAGCUGCAGAAAAUAGUGAUGUCGGUAAAGAGCCUGAGAGACAAACUUGAAGAGAUGAAAGAAAGGUUACGUCUCAGUAGAGAAAAGCAAGACAUUGAGAGUGAAAGAAAACAGCUGGAGGAAAUGAAGAACGUCAUGGAAACCAGCAAGACUGCAGUGGCAAAAGAAAGACAAGAGCUUGAGGAGCUGAAGGAACAACUCAGGAGAGCAAAACAAGACAUUGAGAGUGAAAGAAAACAGCUGGAGGACAUGAAGAAUGCCAUGGACAGAGACAGAGAAGGUUUACUAAGUGAAAAGAACAGAAUGGAAGUUGAAUGGGCGGAAAUAAUAAAGAGAGAAGAUCAGCUGCAGAAAAUAGUGAUGUCGGUAAAGAGCCUGAGAGACAAACUUGAAGAGAUGAAAGAAAGGUUACGUGAAAACCUGAAUACCAAAUUGGAAAAGAUGCAACAAGAUAAUGACAAUUUACUGUUGAUGGCCAAUGAAUGUGAGCACAAGCUCACAGAACUAAAUAGUUGCAUGGAAAACGCCAGAUCAUGUGUGGACUUAUUCCAGAGGGAAAAGGAAAGCCUGAUAAGUACAAUGUCAAAUAUGUUCAUCCAGACACAAUCCAUGAAAACUCAAUGGAAGCAAAAGUUGGACUUAGAAAAUCAAACUCUUUGUGUCUUGAAGAAGCAAAUUGAAGACGAAAGAAAUGAUGUGAACAGAGAAAAUGAGAAGCUCACUGAAAACAGGUUGAAGUUAGAAAUGACAAACAAUAACAUACAAAUCCAGUCUGAUAUGUUGUAUCAAGUUAUGAAAGAGGGUAAAGACAAAUUAGAGAAGUUAAAGACUGAGCUGCAAGAGAAGACAGGGCAAGCAGACAAUCUAUUGUUUGACAUCAACACACAGAACAGCAUCAUUAAAGAUGUGAUUCUUCAGGUUCAAUCAGACAGAGAGAAGCUUGUAAUUGCUCUGAACACCAUCACCUUGAAAGAAAGAGAACAACAAGUCAAAGAAAAUGAUCUCACAAAACUGCAACAACAACUGGAAACCAGCAAGACUGCUGUGGCAAAAGAAAGACAAGAGCUGGAGGAGCUGAAGGAACAACUCAGGAGAGAAAAGCAAGACAUUGAGAGUGAAAGAAAACAGCUGGAGGAAAUGAAGAACGUCAUGGAAACCAGCAAGACUGCAGUGGCAGAAGAAAGACAAGA
This 2404-nucleotide long non-coding RNA is filed under the name Takifugu rubripes (torafugu). Its description in RNAcentral is "lncRNA (ENSTRUG00000027009.1)". Lineage: Eukaryota; Metazoa; Chordata; Actinopteri; Tetraodontiformes; Tetraodontidae. The record is from RNAcentral.